GAGCACGUAGGUGGGUUUGUAAGUCAGAUGUGAAAGCCUUCUGUUCAACGGAAGAAUUGCAUCUGAAACUACAAACCUUGAGUAUAGGAGGGGAGAAUGGAACUUCUGGUGGAGCGGUGAAAUGCGUAGAUAUCAGAAGGAACGCCGGCGGCGAAAGCGAUUCUCUGGCCUAUUACUGACACUCAGUGUGCGAAAGCUAGGGGAGCAAACGGGAUUAGAUACCCCGGUAGUCCUAGCCGUAAACGAUGGGCACUAAGUAGAGGGG
Molecule: ribosomal RNA, 265 nt
Filed under: uncultured anaerobic ammonium-oxidizing bacterium
Lineage: Bacteria
Description: partial 16S ribosomal RNA
Rfam family: Bacterial small subunit ribosomal RNA
Source: RNAcentral